UACAGAGGGGGCAAGCGUUAUUCGGAAUUAUUGGGCGUAAAGGGCGCGUAGGCGGCCUGGCAAGUGGAAGGUGAAAUCCCUCGGCUUAACCGAGGAAUUGCGCUCCAAACCGCUUGGCUGGAGUGAGGCAGAGGUGAGCAGAACUAAUGGUGGAGCGGUGAAAUGCGUUGAUAUCGUAAGGAAGACCAGUGGCGAAGGCGGGUCUCUGGACAGUUCCUGACGCUGAGGCACGAAGGCCAGGGGAGCAAACGGG
RNAcentral lists this ribosomal RNA (253 nucleotides) under uncultured bacterium. RNAcentral describes it as "partial 16S ribosomal RNA". It matches the Rfam family "Bacterial small subunit ribosomal RNA", at positions 524 to 776 of the family's 1533-position model. The record is from RNAcentral.